GAGGGUAUAGCUCAGUGGUAGAGCACAUGCUUAGCCUGCACUAGGUCCUCGGUUCAAUCCCCAGUACCUCCA
RNAcentral lists this transfer RNA (72 nucleotides) under Camelus ferus (Wild Bactrian camel). It matches the Rfam family "tRNA". Rfam says of the family: Transfer RNA (tRNA) molecules are approximately 80 nucleotides in length. Their secondary structure includes four short double-helical elements and three loops (D, anti-codon, and T loops). The record is from Rfam by way of RNAcentral. Lineage: Eukaryota; Metazoa; Chordata; Mammalia; Artiodactyla; Camelidae.